This is a long non-coding RNA of Myotis davidii, 287 nucleotides long. RefSeq lists it as uncharacterized. Lineage: Eukaryota; Metazoa; Chordata; Mammalia; Chiroptera; Vespertilionidae. The transcript has 3 exons. The record is from RefSeq and is a predicted model, not a curated record.
AGACCAACCUCCUCACCCUGGACAGCCUGCUGGCCAUGGACCACUCGGAGCUGGCCCAAGGGGCCCGGAGGCACUACGAGAGGAAGAGGUCGGUGCCCAGCGUGCUGCUCGUCAGACUGGUCCAGGAGCGCCUGCUCGAGGACGACUGCAUCAGCCGGGGCUGGAUCCUGGAUGGCAUCCCCGAGACGCGGGAGCAGGCGAUGAUGAUCCAGACCCUCGGGAUCACCCCCAGGCAUGUCAGUGAGUAGGCGCCAGGCCCCCCAGCUGCCGGCCCCCCAGGGAGACCU